Long non-coding RNA from Helianthus annuus (common sunflower), 773 nucleotides. RefSeq lists it as uncharacterized. The transcript has 2 exons. The record is from RefSeq and is a predicted model, not a curated record. NCBI's taxonomy places the organism in Eukaryota, Viridiplantae, Streptophyta, Magnoliopsida, Asterales, Asteraceae.
CAAAUCAUACUAUAUACAAAAACUAUUAAUAUUCUUUCAAUAAAUACUAAUUUUGGGUGGUUUUCAUAUUUAUUACCUAUAAAAGACAUUAUAGGGCCGGAAUGGAAGAUAAGCAAGCAAGGAAAAAGUCCAUGCUAAACAUUAGUUGUGUGGGUGCCUAAUAAAUAAAGCAAGUUUAGGUUUUCUAAAGGUGUUGGUUGCCAAGUCACAAGCUGAAGGGUUGCAAACGCAUAUGCGGGACAUGUUGGAGGUGUUACUGAGUUGAUUGAAGGAGAAAUGGUGAAGGAGAGAGAGUAGAUCUGGAAGAUGAAACCUGAGGUUGCGAGUGGUGGAAGAAAGCAAUCAGAUCUGUAUCAAAUGAUUCAAAUCCAAACGCAAUUUCAUGAAAUCGAAGUGUGAUUUGAGCUAGGGUUAGAGAGAAAGGUGAAUCAGAUCUGGAAAUUCAGAAAAGAAAGGUGAAUACCUCGAGGAUUUCGGGAUUUUGGGGGUCAGAGGCUAGGGCUUCAUCAAGAGCAGCUAUUGUUCUCUUUGUUGAUCAAAAAGGAGAAAAGAGAUGACAUGCACUUAAUUUGGGAGUAUACGUGUUUUUGGAUGUCAUGAAGAAAGUAGUAAAAUUGUAUUUGAUAAAAUACUAAAUUAAUUAAGUUAAUAAUUAUAACAAAAUAUUCCAGCCACAUUUGUAACAAAACUGUAACACAAUUAGGAUUAUUUUUGUUUUUGUUACUAUUGUGUCACACUUUUGUUUAUAAAACUUGGGGGAUUUUCUUUUAAAA